CACGAGGUGAACAGAGGAAACUGCAGCCAGCUGAGUCCACUUGCAUACGACUCAAACAUCUCCCAGCAACCUCAGUUUUUUGCAUGUGGUGAGUCGUACCCAUCUGCAGCUGGUGUUACACCCUUUCUUCUCAUUCAGACAACUCUUCUUUCCACAGAAAGGUGCAGCCUCUGAGUGACUCUCCACAGUAACUCACAAGCUGUACGUUUCCAUGGCCCACAGGUCGAGGAGUUUCGCAGACAUAACUCCUUGGGAGCAGUGCCCAGGUCAAGAAAGAAAAUGUGGCCAAUGCCCCAGGAUCUUAUUUGGUCAUCCAGGCUGGACUGCAGUGGUGUGAUCAUAGCUCACUGCAGCCUCAAACUGCUGGACUCCAGUGAUCUUCCAGCCUCAGCCUCCCCCGGUAGCAAGGACUACAGGGUCCCAGAAGGAACCAACGCUGCCCACACCUUAAUUUGAGACUUCUGGCCUCUGAGAAAUGAGAAAGAGUCUCACUCUCUGUCGCCCAGCCUGGAGUGCAGUGGCAUCAUCUGAGCUCACUACAACCUCCGCCUCCCGGGUUCAAGCGAUUCUCCUGCCUCAGCCUCCUGAGUAGCUGGGACUACAGGCACGCGCCACCACGCCCAGCUAAUUUUCGUAUUUUUAAUAGACAUGGGGUUUCACCAUGUUGGCCAGGCUGCUCUUGAACUGCUAACCUCAAGUGAUCCACCAGCGUUGGCCUCUCAAAGUACUAGGAUUACAGUGCUAGGAGCCACCAUGCCCGGCCGCCUCUCUUUUCUUUUACACAUGAAGAAAAAGUGGUCAGAGAAGUUAACUUGGUCAGUGCCAAAAGCACUGGAAGUGAGUAGGACCAAGCUUUUCAUCUAGAUUUGUUUGUUAGACUCUAAAUCCAAAUUCACAACAAGAUCAGAAUAUGAGAAACCUAAGGAACAAAAUUCUAGGAAUCAUUUCUAGAAACUGUGGCUAUUGAAAAAGCACAGACCUAGGGAAUCAAAUUAUUUUCCCUGCCACCAGCACAUGGGUAGGCCUGUGACAAAUUCCAUGCUCUGGACCCCAGAUUCCUCAGUGAGAAUAGAAGGGGCUAGAGACAUCAGGGAAUUGGAUUUGGUGACUUUAAUACCCACUCAGCUCCAAAGCAUUCUUGAAUGAUGCACGAUUUAUGAAUAUAUAUAUUGAAAUUUACUGAUGGGUGAACAGCUCUCAACAUGAGAUUUUUGUUGUAUGCCUUAAAAAAGAUUAUACAUAAAUAUGCGUGUGUGUGUGUAUGUAUGUUUCGAUGUAUAUGAACCCAUGAUCUGAAAAAUGGCCACUGUGGCUUGUGGAAACCUAUUAAUCUCUGCUGUUCCACCCAACAUCCUCAGAGAAAAAAAUAAACAACUUUUUGAAAGUGCUGCCAUGGGGUCAGA
Molecule: long non-coding RNA, 1403 nt
Filed under: Homo sapiens (human)
Lineage: Eukaryota; Metazoa; Chordata; Mammalia; Primates; Hominidae
Description: HSALNT0387173
Source: RNAcentral